Lates calcarifer (barramundi perch) is the source of this 878-nucleotide long non-coding RNA. RefSeq lists it as uncharacterized. NCBI's taxonomy places the organism in Eukaryota, Metazoa, Chordata, Actinopteri, Centropomidae. The transcript is spliced from 3 exons. The record is from RefSeq and is a predicted model, not a curated record.
CAGGCUCCAGCAUCCUUGACAGAGCUGUGAUUGAACACAACCUCCUGUCUGCGAGUAAACUCUACAACAACAUCACUUUUGAAGAACUAGGAGCACUGUUGGAAAUCCCUCCAGCAAAGGCUGAGAAGAUUGCAUCCCAGAUGAUCACUGAAGGACGCAUGAAUGGCUUCAUUGACCAAUAGAUGGAAUUGUACACUUUGAGACUCGUGAACCCCUUCCUACCUGGGACAAACAGAUCCAGUCUCUGUGUUUCCAAGUCAACAACCUCCUAGAAAAGAUCCGUCAGGCUGCUCCAGAGUGGGCCGCUCAAGCUAUGGAAACCCAGAUGACCCAGUAAACAUCCCCACCCAAAAAAAAAAAAAAAAAAAAUCCCCUAAAUGGCUCCUCAGCAAGUUUUGUCUUCCUGUUCAACAACAUCACCACUUGAGUCACGGUAAUGGAAGCACCCACUUAGAACCCUCUGGUAUCACCAUCACUCAUUUGAGAUGUUUCUCUUUUUGGUAAAUUCUCAGUGAGCACUGUUUUAUUACUUUGGGCCAUGGGAAUAACAAUUCAACAUUUCUCAAUAUUUCAGAUCUGUCUGGCAUAGAUGUAAUCACAGGAGAGGUAUUGUGUAACCUCUGGGUGUGACCUUGGUUAUGAUUCUUCAGAUAGUUGUCUUGUCAUGUCAUUGGGUCAAAAAGAAGUGAAAAGAUGCGAACAAUCGGUCUAUUUAAGCUUUUGCGUUCAAACACAUUCUCGUGUUUUUAACUUAACAAACUUUACAAAUGAAACAGCAAUAUCUGUCAAGUAGCUCUUGAUUUGUUGUGUCUUGCACAUCUCCUGGUCCACCCUAAUGUAAUUUCAGCAAAGAGAAAUAAAUUCAAAGCCGAGAGAAA